Molecule: long non-coding RNA, 657 nt
Filed under: Mytilus galloprovincialis (Mediterranean mussel)
Lineage: Eukaryota; Metazoa; Mollusca; Bivalvia; Mytilida; Mytilidae
Source: RNAcentral
CCUGCCUCUGGGUGACAGACAUUUGGCCCUUCCCAUAUCCAAAAUUUAUAGAUCUAAGGACAAAUUUACCAAUAUCAAUCCAAAAAAAUUUGAAAAAUUCUGCAGUGUAACCAUCAGAUCCCGGACUCUUGUUAUUUUUCAUCCUCUUUAAUGCUGCAGUUAAUUCAGAAAAAAAUAAUAUUUCCCUCCAAUAACUGCUUUUCAUCCUCGCUAAGCUUCGGUAUCUCGUCAUAACAAUAGUCCCGUGUUAAAUCAACCUUUUUCAAACAAUCUUGUUUUCUAUAAAGUUUUUCAUAAAACACCCUUGUCUGAUUUAAGAUUUCUUUUUGUUCUUCCACUAUAACACCAUUUUCUAAAGUAAGUUUUUGAAUAGUCUUAUUAAUAUAAUUUCUAGUCUCUAGAUUUAAAAAAAAUUGGUAGGUUUUUCUCCUUCUUCAAUCCACUGACUUCUUGACCUAACAUAUUGUCCCUGAACCUUCUUUUGUCUAUACAUUUUAAGUUCUGCUUUUUUCUGAUCAAUCUCUUCCAGAUUUUCUACUGUUAGAGCAUUUUCUUCUAAUUGUUUUAAUUUUGAAAUAAUCUCAUUUUCAAUUUUUAUACCCGCCUUUUUUUAUAAGAGGCAUAUGAAAUAGUUUUACCGCGUAUUUCUGUGAGUAG